RNAcentral lists this ribosomal RNA (705 nucleotides) under Bacillus subtilis. RNAcentral describes it as "bacterial SSU rRNA". It matches the Rfam family "Bacterial small subunit ribosomal RNA", at positions 38 to 725 of the family's 1533-position model. Lineage: Bacteria; Bacillati; Bacillota; Bacilli; Caryophanales; Bacillaceae. The record is from RNAcentral.
GGCGGCGUGCCUAAUACAUGCAAGUCGAGCGGACAGAUGGGAGCUUGCUCCCUGAUGUUAGCGGCGGACGGGUGAGUAACACGUGGGUAACCUGCCUGUAAGACUGGGAUAACUCCGGGAAACCGGGGCUAAUACCGGAUGCUUGUUUGAACCGCAUGGUUCAAACAUAAAAGGUGGCUUCGGCUACCACUUACAGAUGGACCCGCGGCGCAUUAGCUAGUUGGUGAGGUAACGGCUCACCAAGGCAACGAUGCGUAGCCGACCUGAGAGGGUGAUCGGCCACACUGGGACUGAGACACGGCCCAGACUCCUACGGGAGGCAGCAGUAGGGAAUCUUCCGCAAUGGACGAAAGUCUGACGGAGCAACGCCGCGUGAGUGAUGAAGGUUUUCGGAUCGUAAAGCUCUGUUGUUAGGGAAGAACAAGUACCGUUCGAAUAGGGCGGUACCUUGACGGUACCUAACCAGAAAGCCACGGCUAACUACGUGCCAGCAGCCGCGGUAAUACGUAGGUGGCAAGCGUUGUCCGGAAUUAUUGGGCGUAAAGGGCUCGCAGGCGGUUCCUUAAGUCUGAUGUGAAAGCCCCCGGCUCAACCGGGGAGGGUCAUUGGAAACUGGGGAACUUGAGUGCAGAAGAGGAGAGUGGAAUUCCACGUGUAGCGGUGAAAUGCGUAGAGAUGUGGAGGAACACCAGUGGCGAAGGCGAC